This is a non-coding RNA of Callithrix jacchus (white-tufted-ear marmoset), 534 nucleotides long. NCBI's taxonomy places the organism in Eukaryota, Metazoa, Chordata, Mammalia, Primates, Cebidae. The record is from the annotation of a RefSeq genome assembly.
AAAUUGAAACUCAUCUGGUGUGGGAUGUGCUAUGGCUGCUGCUUUGUUUCCUGGGGCCUCCCCUGACCUAGUAUCUGGCACAGAUUCUGAAUUCUGGGGCCUGGAACCUCAGUGUGCACUUGAACAAUGAAGCUGGUGACAAGCAUUACUGUACUCCUAUCUUUGGGUAUUACAGGUGAUGCUAAGACCACACAGCCAAAUUCAAUGGAAAGUAAUGAAGAAGAGCCUGUACACUUGCCUUGUAACCACUCCACAAUCAGUGGAGCUGAUUACAUAUACUGGUAUCGACAGCUUCCCUCCGCGGGUCCAGAGUAUGUGAUUCAUGGUACAACAAGCAAUGUGAACAACAGAAUGGCCUCUCUGACAAUCGCAGAAGACAAAAAGUCCAGUACCUUGAUCCUGCACCGUGCUACCUUGAGAGAUGCUGCUGUGUACUACUGCAUCUUGAGAGACCACAGUGGAACAGAUGGGGCUGCACCUGUGCAAUAUCUCCCUGAUUGUGGAAGAGAAGACAUCUAACAAGGCCACUGCACA